AGAGUUUGAUCAUGGCUCAGAUUGAACGCUGGCGGCAGGCCUAACACAUGCAAGUCGAACGGUAGCACAGAGGAGCUUGCUCCUUGGGUGACGAGUGGCGGACGGGUGAGUAAUGUCUGGGAAACUGCCCGAUGGAGGGGGAUAACUACUGGAAACGGUAGCUAAUACCGCAUAACAGUUUAUGCCGCAUGGCAUAAGAGUGAAAGGCGCUUUCGGGUGUCGCUGAUGGAUGGACCCGCGGUGCAUUAGCUAGUUGGUGAGGUAACGGCUCACCAAGGCCACGAUGCAUAGCCGACCUGAGAGGGUGAUCGGCCACACUGGGACUGAGACACGGUCCAGACUCCUACGGGAGGCAGCAGUGGGGAAUAUUGCACAAUGGGCGCAAGCCUGAUGCAGCCAUGCCGCGUGUAUGAAGAAGGCCUUCGGGUUGUAAAGUACUUUCAGCGGGGAGGAAGGCGUUGAGGUUAAUAACCUCAGCGAUUGACGUUACUCGCAGAAGAAGCACCGGCUAACUCCGUGCCAGCCGCCGCGGUAAUUC
This 538-nucleotide ribosomal RNA is filed under the name uncultured bacterium. RNAcentral describes it as "bacterial SSU rRNA". It matches the Rfam family "Bacterial small subunit ribosomal RNA", at positions 8 to 526 of the family's 1533-position model. The record is from RNAcentral.